This is a long non-coding RNA of Gasterosteus aculeatus aculeatus (three-spined stickleback), 685 nucleotides long. The record is from Ensembl. Lineage: Eukaryota; Metazoa; Chordata; Actinopteri; Perciformes; Gasterosteidae.
CAUCCACCCACUAAGACGUACAGGUACGCUCUGAAUGGAAACCAAAGCAAACAACAGCCGUCAAGUUCACACUGGCUGCCCAGCCGCUGGCUUUGACUCACAUUGAAUGUAGUGUGAUGGAAACUAGCAUGAACCACUGGAGCCAAGACCGUCAGCUGAGACCACUUGCAUUGCUAUUCACUCUGCGCAGCUUCCCCACGCAGACGGAUCUGGCAACAAUGGCAGUGAGAACAUGGCGGCAUUUCUAAACAUCCCUUCUUACAGAUACAAGAAGAAGGAGAUCAGAUUAAUACUUUAAUGAUCCCACGCUGGGAAAAUUCCAUUGAUGUAACUGUAUGAGGAAUACACUUCACUUGCUGUUUUUGGCUGGGAAUAACACAUUUACAGAGGCAACUUAAGAAGGAGUUAACAUGUCAGACGGGAGUAUUUGAGGCUGACUAUGAGAACAUGGUUAAGGCGCUGCGCCACAGGCUGUUGGCCGCUGAUGAAGGUGUUUGCACUUCCUGAUGUAAAGUUUGAUGUCUGGCGGUUUCUCCUGGCUUAAUGAUCGGACAAUCUUUUUUUUAAACCUUUUUCUCAUUGAAAGCCUCACAGUCUCGAAUUCCACAGUGUGUGAAUUGGCUGAGGUGCCUGUAACUAAAGGUAAAGGAUGCUACCUUUACUUCAAUAUUUUGAAUAAAAUUGU